UUAGCAUAUGACGAUAAGCAAGACAGGGACUCUGCAGCGGCUCUGGCUCAGAUCGGGCCGUGAAUGAUGCAUUCGUCUAGGGGAAUCUCUGAUGCUAA
Non-coding RNA from Triticum urartu, 98 nucleotides. The record is from Rfam. NCBI's taxonomy places the organism in Eukaryota, Viridiplantae, Streptophyta, Magnoliopsida, Poales, Poaceae.